Molecule: ribosomal RNA, 350 nt
Filed under: uncultured bacterium
Lineage: Bacteria
Description: partial 16S ribosomal RNA
Rfam family: Bacterial small subunit ribosomal RNA
Source: RNAcentral
CCUACGGGUGGCAGCAGUCGAGAAUCAUUCACAAUGGGGGAAACCCUGAUGGUGCGACGCCGCGUGGGGGAAUGAAGGUCUUCGGAUUGUAAACUCCUGUCAUGUGGGAGCAAAUUAAAAAGAUAGUACCACAAUAGGAAGAGACUGCUAACUCUGUGCCAGCAGCCGCGGUAAUACAGAGGUCUCAAGCGUUGUUCGGAAUCACUGGGCGUAAAGCGUGCGUAGGCUGUUUCGUAAGUCGUGUGUGAAAGGCGCGGGCUCAACCCGCGGACGGCACAUGAUACUGCGGGACUAGAGUAAUGGCGGGGGAACCGGAAUUCUUGGUGUAGCAGUGAAAUGCGUAGAUAUCG